UAGGCUCAGAUUGAACGCUGGCGGCAGGCUUAACACAUGCAAGUCGAGCGGGCGAGGUUACUUCGGUAACUGAGCUAGCGGCGGACGGGUGAGUAAUGCUUAGGAAUCUGCCUAUUAGUGGGGGACAACAUUCCGAAAGGAAUGCUAAUACCGCAUACGCCCUACGGGGGAAAGCAGGGGAUCUUCGGACCUUGCGCUAAUAGAUGAGCCUAAGUCAGAUUAGCUAGUUGGUGGGGUAAAGGCCUACCAAGGCGACGAUCUGUAGCGGGUCUGAGAGGAUGAUCCGCCACACUGGGACUGAGACACGGCCCAGACUCCUACGGGAGGCAGCAGUGGGGAAUAUUGGACAAUGGGCGAAAGCCUGAUCCAGCCAUGCCGCGUGUGUGAAGAAGGCCUUUUGGUUGUAAAGCACUUUAAGCGAGGAGGAGGCUACCGAGAUUAAUACUCUUGGAUAGUGGACGUUACUCGCAGAAUAAGCACCGGCUAACUCUGUGCCAGCAGCCGCGGUAAUACAGAGGGUGCGAGCGUUAAUCGGAUUUACUGGGCGUAAAGCGUGCGUAGGCGGCUUUUUAAGUCGGAUGUGAAAUCCCUGAGCUUAACUUAGGAAUUGCAUUCGAUACUGGGAAGCUAGAGUAUGGGAGAGGAUGGUAGAAUUCCAGGUGUAGCGGUGAAAUGCGUAGAGAUCUGGAGGAAUACCGAUGGCGAAGGCAGCCAUCUGGCCUAAUACUGACGCUGAGGUACGAAAGCAUGGGGAGCAAACAGGAUUAGAUACCCUGGUAGUCCAUGCCGUAAACGAUGUCUACUA
RNAcentral lists this ribosomal RNA (805 nucleotides) under Acinetobacter johnsonii. RNAcentral describes it as "bacterial SSU rRNA". It matches the Rfam family "Bacterial small subunit ribosomal RNA", at positions 19 to 818 of the family's 1533-position model. Lineage: Bacteria; Pseudomonadati; Pseudomonadota; Gammaproteobacteria; Moraxellales; Moraxellaceae. The record is from RNAcentral.